UGGGGAAUAUUGGACAAUGGAGGAAACUCUGAUCCAGCAAUUCUGUGUGUGUGAAGAAGGUUUUAGGACUGUAAAACACUUUUCGUAGGGCAGAAAAAAAUGACGGUACCUACAGAAGAAGCAACGGCUAAAUACGUGCCAGCAGCCGCGGUAAUACGUAUGUUGCGAGCGUUAUCCGGAAUUAUUGGGCUUAAAGGGCAUCUAGGCGGUAAGACAAGUUGAAGGUGAAAACCUGUGGCUCAACCAUAGGCUUGCCUACAAAACUGUGGAACUAGAGAACUUGAAAGGUGGGUGGAACUACACGAGUAGAGGUGAAAUUCGUAGAUAUGUGUAGGAAUGCCGAUGAUGAAGAUAACGCACUGGACAGAAACUGACGCUGAAGUGCGAAAGCUAGGGGAGCAAACAGG
Molecule: ribosomal RNA, 407 nt
Filed under: Verrucomicrobiota bacterium
Lineage: Bacteria; Pseudomonadati; Verrucomicrobiota
Description: Verrucomicrobia bacterium partial 16S ribosomal RNA
Rfam family: Bacterial small subunit ribosomal RNA
Source: RNAcentral